UUAGAGUUUGAUCAUGGCUCAGAUUGAACGCUGGCGGCAGGCCUAACACAUGCAAGUCGAACGGUAACAGGAAGAAGCUUGCUUCUUUGCUGACGAGUGGCGGACGGGUGAGUAAUGUCUGGGAAACUGCCUGAUGGAGGGGGAUAACUACUGGAAACGGUAGCUAAUACCGCAUAACGUCGCAAGACCAAAGAGGGGGACCUUCGGGCCUCUUGCCAUCGGAUGUGCCCAGAUGGGAUUAGCUAGUAGGUGGGGUAACGGCUCACCUAGGCGACGAUCCCUAGCUGGUCUGAGAGGAUGACCAGCCACACUGGAACUGAGACACGGUCCAGACUCCUACGGGAGGCAGCAGUGGGGAAUAUUGCACAAUGGGCGCAAGCCUGAUGCAGCCAUGCCGCGUGUAUGAAGAAGGCCUUCGGGUUGUAAAGUACUUUCAGCGGGGAGGAAGGGAGUAAAGUUAAUACCUUUGCUCAUUGACGUUACCCGCAGAAGAAGCACCGGCUAACUCCGUGCCAGCAGCCGCGGUAAUACGGAGGGUGCAAGCGUUAAUCGGAAUUACUGGGCGUAAAGCGCACGCAGGCGGUUUGUUAAGUCAGAUGUGAAAUCCCCGGGCUCAACCUGGGAACUGCAUCUGAUACUGGCAAGCUUGAGUCUCGUAGAGGGGGGUAGAAUUCCAGGUGUAGCGGUGAAAUGCGUAGAGAUCUGGAGGAAUACCGGUGGCGAAAGGCGGCCCCCUGGACGAAGACUGACGCUCAGGUGCGAAAGCGUGGGGAGCAAACAGGAUUAGAUACCUUGGUAGUCCACGCCGUAAACGAUGUCGACUUGGAGGUUGUGCCCUUGAGGCGUGGCUUCCGGAGCUAACGCGUUAAGUCGACCGCCUGGGGAGUACGGCCGCAAGGUUAAAACUCAAAUGAAUUGACGGGGGCCCGCACAAGCGGUGGAGCAUGUGGUUUAAUUCGAUGCAACGCGAAGAACCUUACCUGGUCUUGACAUCCACGGAAGUUUUCAGAGAUGAGAAUGUGCCUUCGGGAACCGUGAGACAGGUGCUGCAUGGCUGUCGUCAGCUCGUGUUGUGAAAUGUUGGGUUAAGUCCCGCAACGAGCGCAACCCUUAUCCUUUGUUGCCAGCGGUCCGGCCGGGAACUCAAAGGAGACUGCCAGUGAUAAACUGGAGGAAGGUGGGGAUGACGUCAAGUCAUCAUGGCCCUUACGACCAGGGCUACACACGUGCUACAAUGGCGCAUACAAAGAGAAGCGACCUCGCGAGAGCAAGCGGACCUCAUAAAGUGCGUCGUAGUCCGGAUUGGAGUCUGCAACUCGACUCCAUGAAGUCGGAAUCGCUAGUAAUCGUGGAUCAGAAUGCCACGGUGAAUACGUUCCCGGGCCUUGUACACACCGCCCGUCACACCAUGGGAGUGGGUUGCAAAAGAAGUAGGUAGCUUAACCUUCGGGAGGGCGCUUACCACUUUGUGAUUCAUGACUGGGGUGAAGUCGUAACAAGGUAACC
This 1506-nucleotide ribosomal RNA is filed under the name uncultured Escherichia sp. Its description in RNAcentral is "bacterial SSU rRNA". It matches the Rfam family "Bacterial small subunit ribosomal RNA". The record is from RNAcentral. Lineage: Bacteria; Pseudomonadati; Pseudomonadota; Gammaproteobacteria; Enterobacterales; Enterobacteriaceae.